AAAACUUUAAGUUAAAUAAACUAUUAACCUUCAAAGUUAAAAAUAAGUCAAUUUAAGUUUU
Molecule: transfer RNA, 61 nt
Filed under: Sphaerotheriidae sp. HYS-2012
Lineage: Eukaryota; Metazoa; Arthropoda; Diplopoda; Sphaerotheriida; Sphaerotheriidae
Description: tRNA-Trp
Source: RNAcentral